UAUUGCACAAUGGGGGAAACCCUGAUGCAGCGACGCCGCGUGAGUGAAGAAGUAUUUCGGUAUGUAAAGCUCUAUCAGCAGGAACGAGAUAAGACGGUACCUGACUAAGAAGCCCCGGCUAACUACGUGCCAGCAGCCGCGGUAAUACGUAUGGAGCAAGCGUUAUCCGGAGUUACUGGGUGUAAAGGGAGCGUAGGCAGCCUGGCAAGUCUGGUGUGAAAUACCGGGGCCCAACCCCGGGACUGCAUUGGAAACUGCCAGGCUGGAGUGUCGGAGGGGCAGGCGGAAUUCCUAGUGUAGCGGUGAAAUGCGUAGAUAUUAGGAGGAACACCGGUGGCGAAGGCGGCCUGCUGGACGACAACUGACGCUGAGGCUCGAAAGCGUGGGGAGCAAACAGG
RNAcentral lists this ribosomal RNA (398 nucleotides) under uncultured bacterium. RNAcentral describes it as "bacterial SSU rRNA". It matches the Rfam family "Bacterial small subunit ribosomal RNA", at positions 362 to 776 of the family's 1533-position model. The record is from RNAcentral.